Pelobates cultripes (western spadefoot toad) is the source of this 502-nucleotide non-coding RNA. Lineage: Eukaryota; Metazoa; Chordata; Amphibia; Anura; Pelobatidae. The record is from the annotation of a GenBank genome assembly.
CUCACAGGGAGUAGAGUGUGUAGGGGAUGUGUUAUGUGUUACUGUAGAGGAUCUAAUGUGUGUGCUUAUGGAAUGUAGUGUAUAGGGAUACCAGUUUGUGUAGGUGAUGCAGUGUGUUUGUGUGUAAGGGAUAGAAAGCAGUGAGUGUUUGUGUAUACGGGAUGUAUUGUGUGUUUGUCUGUAAGGGGUGCGUUGAGUGUGUGUAAGAGAUGCAUUGUGUUUCUGUGUGUGUGUAAGAGAAGCAGUGUGUGUUUGCAUAUGUGUGUAAGGGAUGCAUUGUGUGUUUCUGUGUAUGUGUGCAAAGGAUGCAUUGUCUUUGUCUAAGGGUUGCAUUGUGUGUUUCUCUGUGUGUAAGGGAAGCAUGUUGUGUUUCUGUGUGUAUAGGGAUGCAUUGUGUGUGUGUGUGUGCGCGUGGUGUGAAAGAGCUCCCUGUCCUGCCCCCUGUCCUAUAGAGCUCUCCCUUAGAGAUCUCCCCCGCCCCUUAGUGGUCUCUCCUCUCCCC